ACUCCAUUUAAAGGGAGUAUUGGUUUCAGAUGAUCAUUUUGCAAUUAAACCAUAACUUUGAUCACUUAUAUCAUAGAACACAUAACGGAUAACUGUAAUUAAUGACACGCAAAGACGUGCGGAGCAGGUAGAUUUAUAUUCUAGGGCUUUGCAGAGAAUUUCCCAGAUUCCCACCGUAGUUCAGCAAAACUAGUGAAUAUUUUAUAACAGAAACUAUCAUUGACG
Molecule: non-coding RNA, 225 nt
Organism: Pelobates cultripes (western spadefoot toad)
Lineage: Eukaryota; Metazoa; Chordata; Amphibia; Anura; Pelobatidae
Source: the annotation of a GenBank genome assembly